ACGAACGCUGGCGGCGCGCCUAACACAUGCAAGUCGAACGAGCGAGAGAGAGCUUGCUUUCUCAAGCGAGUGGCGAACGGGUGAGUAACGCGUGAGGAACCUGCCUCAAAGAGGGGGACAACAGUUGGAAACGACUGCUAAUACCGCAUAAGCCCACAGGUCGGCAUCGACCAGAGGGAAAAGGAGCAAUCCGCUUUGAGAUGGCCUCGCGUCCGAUUAGCUAGUUGGUGAGGUAACGGCCCACCAAGGCAACGAUCGGUAGCCGGACUGAGAGGUUGAACGGCCACAUUGGGACUGAAACACGGCCCAGACUCCUACGGGAGGCAGCAGUGGGGAAUAUUGCACAAUGGGGGAAACCCUGAUGCAGCGACGCCGCGUGGAGGAAGAAGGUCUUCGGAUUGUAAACUCCUGUUGUUGAGGAAGAUAAUGACGGUACUCAACAAGGAAGUGACGGCUAACUACGUG
This 465-nucleotide ribosomal RNA is filed under the name uncultured bacterium. Its description in RNAcentral is "partial 16S ribosomal RNA". It matches the Rfam family "Bacterial small subunit ribosomal RNA", at positions 29 to 507 of the family's 1533-position model. The record is from RNAcentral.